ACCUGGGUGGCUCAGUGGUUGAGCAUCUGUCUUUGGCUUAGAUCAUCAUUAUGGGGUCCCAGGAUCAAGUCCUGCCUCAGGCU
RNAcentral lists this transfer RNA (83 nucleotides) under Canis lupus familiaris (dog). It matches the Rfam family "tRNA". Rfam says of the family: Transfer RNA (tRNA) molecules are approximately 80 nucleotides in length. Their secondary structure includes four short double-helical elements and three loops (D, anti-codon, and T loops). Lineage: Eukaryota; Metazoa; Chordata; Mammalia; Carnivora; Canidae. The record is from Rfam by way of RNAcentral. RNAcentral also lists the same sequence under 1 other name.